GAUGAACGCUGGCGGCGUGCCUAAUACAUGCAAGUCGAGCGAACUGAUUAGAAGCUUGCUUCUAUGACGUUAGCGGCGGACGGGUGAGUAACACGUGGGCAACCUGCCUGUAAGACUGGGAUAACUUCGGGAAACCGAAGCUAAUACCGGAUAGGAUCUUCUCCUUCAUGGGAGAUGAUUGAAAGAUGGUUUCGGCUAUCACUUACAGAUGGGCCCGCGGUGCAUUAGCUAGUUGGUGAGGUAACGGGUAACCAAGGCAACGAUGCAUAGCCGACCUGAAGGGGUGAGCGGCCACACUGGGACUGAGACACGGCCCAGACUCCUACGGGAGGCAGCAGUAGGGAAUCUUCCGCAAUGGACGAAAGUCUGACGGAGCAACGCCGCGUGAGUGAUGAAGGCUUUCGGAUCGUAAAACUCUGUUGUUAGGGAAGAAUAAGUACAAGAGUAACUGCUUGUACCUUGACGGUACCUAACCAGAAAGCCACGGCUAACUACGUGCCAGCCGCCGCAGUAA
Molecule: ribosomal RNA, 514 nt
Filed under: uncultured bacterium
Lineage: Bacteria
Description: partial 16S ribosomal RNA
Rfam family: Bacterial small subunit ribosomal RNA
Source: RNAcentral